Triticum aestivum (bread wheat) is the source of this 1166-nucleotide long non-coding RNA. RefSeq lists it as uncharacterized. The transcript is spliced from 3 exons. NCBI's taxonomy places the organism in Eukaryota, Viridiplantae, Streptophyta, Magnoliopsida, Poales, Poaceae. The record is from RefSeq and is a predicted model, not a curated record.
GUGAAAACCUAGUUUAGGGUAGGACAGCAAGAUCAUUGAGGAUCGAGGCGGCGGCGAACGCACGGCAUGGAGGGAUAAGUCGCCAUCACGAUCAGAUGGAGGCGCUGUGGGAGGAGAUUGAUGCGGCGGCGUCUUUCCUCCGCGCAAUGAUCUAAAGCGCGACAUCAAGCAGCAACAGGGGAGCAGGGAGGCGGCGGCGCGGUGAACCGACUGCGACGUCUCGGAGCUUCGGCGCAGGAUCUCUUCUCUAGAGUCAGAACCUCUGCGCCCUCCUGCAGCGGGAUGACGAGUCCGACGACGACCGAUGUCAUAGGGCGGCAUCGGCGAUGCAGGUCCACUUGCUCCAGACCCUAGACCGGGAGUUGCCGGAGCUGCCACGGCGUGACCUCACGAUCCCCUUCACAUGCUCCUGCACGGAGUAGGAAGACGAGAUGGAUCUCGCGCGAUCUCCAGCGAGGGAGGAGAUGGAGACCGAGGAGAGCCUCUUUGCCGGAUGCCGCUAAGGCUGUGGAUACGUGUGCGGGAUGCAACACCGCAUUGAGCCCUACAUAUGCACUUCGGGCACUGCACGCUGUGAUUCCUCCACAUAAUUACCAACAGGAUCUCGAGUAUUCCCAUCGUCGACUUUUUUUUAUUUCCAAAAGUUCGCAGGAAUAAUUGUUGCAAACUAUUUUUUUUGCGGGAAUAAUUGUUGGAAACUUGUCAGUUCUUCUGCCAAGGCUUGAUUAAUGAACCUACAAAAUUCCUCGAAUGGAUCUGACUAAAUCCGGGUAUUUCCCUCCUUUCCAUUCCGGAGCAUCUUAUAAUCUUAAGUUUCCGGUUUAUGAAAGAAAAAUUAUAUUAUCAGCUCACUCUUCAUCAAUCCUUAUGGAUCGGCCUAGCAUGAUCUGAAACUUUGUGGAUGUGAUUAUGACCAAACGUUUAAGAUGCUUGCAAAAUUUGGUGGCCAAAUGACAUCCGAUGAGCUCUGUAUAAAAAAAAGUUUGUGCUUAAACAAAUGAACAGUAACUCAGGGGGAGAGCAUCAUUUUGUGCCACCAGAAUUCUAUUUUGUGUCCGCAUAUUUUAGUAGUGUCGUGGCAUCAGUUGUGCAGUCUCUCAGUGACCGAUCCUCCUUUUUUUUGAAAAUAAACACACUGUUUUAAUACUUCCUUGCUGUAGGCUCGG